Rattus norvegicus (Norway rat) is the source of this 278-nucleotide non-coding RNA. The record is from RefSeq and is a predicted model, not a curated record. Lineage: Eukaryota; Metazoa; Chordata; Mammalia; Rodentia; Muridae.
CUGACCUGCCUUAGGGUGUUCAUCUUUUACCGUGUCUAGUUCACAAGUUAGGCUCUACCAUAGGGCACUUGGCCUGCCUCCAGGCCCCUCUGCACGACUUUACAUUCUCAUAAUUCUGAAGCUACUGUGGUACCAGCGUGAGGCCAGCCAGAGUCGGGAAACGGAGUAGGACCAUCUCCUAGAUAUCUGGGUCAGGCUGGAGAGGCUGUGUCUCUUAAGUGGCUCAGUGGCGAAGAAGCAGUUUGAAAACCUGAGUUUUUAAAGCUUUAUAGAAAGGG